This 731-nucleotide ribosomal RNA is filed under the name uncultured archaeon. RNAcentral describes it as "bacterial SSU rRNA". It matches the Rfam family "Archaeal small subunit ribosomal RNA", at positions 4 to 712 of the family's 1478-position model. The record is from RNAcentral.
CUGGUUGAUCCUGCCAGACCCGACUGCUAUCGGAUUGAGAUUUAGCCAUGCGAGUCGAACGUCCCCCUGUUGCGGGGGGCGUGGCGUACGGCUCAGUAACACGUAGUCAACCUGCCCUGGAGACAUGGACAACCCCGGGAAACUGGGAUUAAUCCGUGAUAGGCCAUCUCAUCUGGAAGGAGAGAUGACUUAAAGGGAUGUGAGAGCUUCUUUCUUGUAUCCGCUCCGGGAUGGGACUGCGGCCGAUCAGGCUGUUGGUGGGGUAAUGGCCCACCAAACCUGUAACCGGUACGGGCCUUGAGAGAGGGGGCCCGGAGAUGGACACUGAGAUAAGGGUCCAGGUCCUACGGGGCGCAGCAGGCGCGAAACCUUCGCAAUGCGCGAAAGCGUGACGAGGUUAAUCCGAGUGGUCCCCGCUGAGGGGAUCUUUUGCCGGCUGUAAAAAGGCCGGUGAAUAAGGGGAGGGCAAGUCUGGUGUCAGCCGCGGCGGUAAUACCAGCUCCUCGAGUGGUCGGGGCGAUUAUUGGGCCUAAUGCAUCCGUAGCCUGUUCUGUACGUCCUCUGUUAAAUCCAACGGCUUAACCGUUGGCCCGCAGAGGAUACCGCAGGACUAGGAUGCGGGAGACGUGGACGGUACUCCACGUGUAGGGGUAAAAUCCUUUGAUCCGUGGAAGACCACCAGUGGCGAAGGCGGUCCACCACAACGCGCUCGACGGUCAGGGAUGAAAGCU